UGGCCAAGACCUCAUCCUUCAGGUGCAGCC
Molecule: non-coding RNA, 30 nt
Filed under: Mus musculus (house mouse)
Lineage: Eukaryota; Metazoa; Chordata; Mammalia; Rodentia; Muridae
Source: RNAcentral